Molecule: long non-coding RNA, 1202 nt
Filed under: Marmota monax (woodchuck)
Lineage: Eukaryota; Metazoa; Chordata; Mammalia; Rodentia; Sciuridae
Source: RNAcentral
CCACUGUCAAAACUUGCAAAUCCUCCUAAUGCGUCUUUCUUUUCAACUUUAAAGAGCGUGUGAGAGAUGUGGCACACGCCUGUGAUCCCAGCUACUUGGGAGGCUGAGGCAGGAAGAUUGCAAGUUCAAGGCUGGUCUGAGCAACUUAACAGCCUUUCACCAAGAAACUGAAAAGAACUGAGUAAGAAGAAUCCCUGAGUCCAAUCAUCAGAGCUGAAAGAGGGAGAGAAAGAAGAAAGACAGAGAGAGAGAGAGUCUGAAGAUUUAGGAGGAUGCAAACGUUAGCUCUGAAUUGGGAUUUGGAGACUAAGGCUGGAUUUCCAGUUUUCCAGUCGGAGACCUCACUAGGAGAGCCCGAAGAUAACUCCAGAAAUAAAUCUUGGUUUUUACCCUGAUGCUGGAUCUCUCUCCCAAGCUCCUGCCCUCUUUAUCUGAUCGCAAGGCCUUAUGUCCCCCAGGAUGGCGCCCUUCAAAAGCAACAUGGCCAAUCAAGUCCAGAUUAAUCUUGGGUUUGGUUUGUUUUCUAGACUUUCCAUAAAUCACUGCGGGUGUUUCUCUGGAAAGGGACAAUGGUAGUUCCCAGUGAGUUGCUUCAGGCCCUCCCACCAGCCUCUGCCCAGCCAAACCGCUGCCCCUCCUCCUGGUUCUCUGUUUGGUGAACAGCACCUCCAGCCUUUCCUCUGGGCCAAAGUCCUAGAGUCCAGCUCCUAAAAAAUGCCUUCUCUCCUGUCUCCACUCCCACCACCAAGGCCUUGGGGAUCUUCUCACCUUCAUCCUCGGUCUGUCCGUAGUCUCCUAAUGGGUCCUCUGUCACAGUCUCCUAAUGGGUCCUGGCCUUUCCGCUGUCUGUUACCAGAGCAAUCUUUUGAGCACCUAAGUCUGGUUUUGCCAUUUGCUCCUGGGGUUCUCUGGGAACUCAAGAGGGGCUCCCUGCCCCUUGGCUGUAACGAGGCCCGUGGCCUCUUCUCUGGGUGUCACUCACACCUGCCCUCAGGGCCACCACCCUCCUCCUUCAAGCUCUAUGACCAGCCACCCAAGCCCUGGGAGGUCCCCUACCAGCCACCUCUUCUGCGUGCCCUUGUUCUGCCAUCAUGGUCCUGGGUCCGUCCCUCUGCUUUUGACCUGGUGACAACCUACAUAAGAAUCCAGGAAGACUCUUCUCUCUGUGAAAAGGAGCACCCCAGAUGUCCCCCACAGAGUGC